RNAcentral lists this ribosomal RNA (253 nucleotides) under uncultured bacterium. Its description in RNAcentral is "partial 16S ribosomal RNA". It matches the Rfam family "Bacterial small subunit ribosomal RNA", at positions 524 to 776 of the family's 1533-position model. The record is from RNAcentral.
UACGUAGGCAGCAAGCGUUGUUCGGAGUUACUGGGCGUAAAGGGUGUGUAGGCGGUCUUCUAAGUUUGGUGUGAAAUCUCCCGGCUCAACUGGGAGGGUGCGCCGAAAACUGGGAGGCUAGAGUGCGGGAUGGGAGAGUGGAAUUCCUGGUGUAGCGGUGAAAUGCGUAGAUAUCAGGAGGAACACCUGCGGCGAAGGCGGGUUGCUGGGCUGACACUGACGCUGAGGCGCGAAAGCUAGGGGAGCAAACGGG